RNAcentral lists this ribosomal RNA (497 nucleotides) under uncultured bacterium. RNAcentral describes it as "partial 16S ribosomal RNA". It matches the Rfam family "Bacterial small subunit ribosomal RNA", at positions 28 to 507 of the family's 1533-position model. The record is from RNAcentral.
GAUGAACGCUGGCGGCGUGCCUAAUACAUGCAAGUCGAGCGAACAGACGAGGAGCUUGCUCCUCUGACGUUAGCGGCGGACGGGUGAGUAACACGUGGAUAACCUACCUAUAAGACUGGGAUAACUUCGGGAAACCGGAGCUAAUACCGGAUAAUAUAUUGAACCGCAUGGUUCAAUAGUGAAAGACGGUUUUGCUGUCACUUAUAGAUGGAUCCGCGCCGCAUUAGCUAGUUGGUAAGGUAACGGCUUACCAAGGCAACGAUGCGUAGCCGACCUGAGAGGGUGAUCGGCCACACUGGAACUGAGACACGGUCCAGACUCCUACGGGAGGCAGCAGUAGGGAAUCUUCCGCAAUGGGCGAAAGCUUGACGGAGCAACGCCGCGUGAGUGAUGAAGGUCUUCGGUUCGUAAAACUCUGUUAUUAGGGAAGAACAAAUGUGUAAGUAACUAUGCACGUCUUGACGGUACCUAAUCAGAAAGCCACGGCUAACUACGUG